AACUGAAAACUGUAUUUUUUGAGCCAAACCAUCCAGUCCAUGGGAAGAAACACGAUAGAAUUAAUAUUUAAAAAAAAAAAGACAACUCAAGACAAUUAUGUCUGACUCAAUUUUUUAAUAAUUUUCGUUUCAAUGUUGACUGACAUGGAGAUGGUCAACUCAGAUAAAUCAAUCACAACUAAUCAAAAGAGAAAUGAGCCGAUGAACGAUAAGCAUGAUCACUUCAAGCAUGCAUUAGAGGUCCAGAAAGUAGUUCACCAUCACAAGCCUGAUUGAAUGCAGUUCUUUAUUUCAAGCCUGAUUAAGCAUCUUCUGAUGUCAAAAGACCAAGUAUAAUUUUUUCACCUGGUAGAAAUUUGAGCUUAUUGCUCCUGUUAUGGAUUUUAAACUUCCACUUCUCCCAUUAUACUUGUACGCAAUUCACUUUUGCAAAUUGAACGUGCAUAAACUUGAAGCUAAUUGUGACCUGCAGUAGACACAAAUGGUUAGAUAAAAAAAACCAAAGAAUAUCUAAUGAAAAUAUUUUAUAUAAUAAUUACAUGCACCUUCCAAGUAGUUGGUUUUUGUUGUCAUGGGAAGAAACAUGGCAGCUAAAUCUAAUCAUCUACCGACAAUAACCAAUGGAGCUGUGACAAUCUGGGCCUCAAGCGCCAUAGAUCCAUAAUUAAGAAAUAUGAUGAAAUCAGGUUUCCUUCGGUAACAUUUCAUCCACCAAAGAGUUCAGCCUUUGCGACUUCACCAAGGCAACAAUAGUCACAGACUAAAGCAUAUGCAGGAAUCAGGUAACAAGCUUGUUUUCAGACAUCUCGGACACAAGUUUAUGAUCAUCCUAAACAAAAUUAUGUUCUUUUGUGAUUUUGUCCUUAGAUUAAACACUUCAAUUAUGUUUCUAAUUUGUCUUUCCUUCUUAUCAUGAUUCAGCCAACGUCGAUGAUGAGUUCCUUUCAGAUUGCCAUCUCUAACAAUGGAUACAAUCACAAUAGAAGUAAGUAAUUACUCUUUCUAUAAUUUGUUGGUAAGCUUCAUGCAAGUGAUUGACCUUCCAAUACCCAUUUGUUAAUUUAGUAUAUUUUAUAGCAUCCGGUGGAAGUCCUCGUUUAAGCAUGUCCUCUAACCAAAUCCAGCAUUUAUCAUAAUAUCUUCAAACCAAAACUAAGUCUCAAUCUUCUCUGUUUGAUACCUUGUCUGGGGUGACAUGCCUACUUAACAUCAACAUGGAGGCUCUCAUCACAUCUCCCUCAUUAAAGUGAGUUAAAGAGUCCAGAGCAAGCACACCGAGCCACUCAAUGCCCUUGCCUAGAUAACCAGAUAAAAAGGUGCUUAACUCUCAACAAAAUGUUUUAAGUUCUAGGGAACCAGAGGCAGAAACCACUGUACUAAAGACUGGUGUUCUGAUCAACUCUCCUUUCUACCAAGGACUUCAACAUUAAUUGUGUGUCUUCUAACUUCCCUUCUCUGCAAAAACUGUCAUUUAAAGAAAGAUAAUCUAACAAAGCUGUGUGUGCUGAUUAAACUAUUUAGUCCGUAUAGUCUUACGCCUUCACAAACACUUUCUACAAAACCCUGUAGCGAGUACAUCGUGCAUCAUAGGAUCAAGAUCCACAUUAAAUUCGGCAUAUGUUAGUGGACACCUUCUCAGCAUAGCUAUGUCCUGGAUUGGAUGAGGAGGUAAUCUCUGGGAUUCCAUGUCAUGGAGCCAUAUCACUGCUUCACAUAUAGUUCCCAGCUUGGAACGAAUAGCUAAUCUGAGACCGUAUGGAAUCCUGUCAAGGUAAAUUCCUGACUCUUUAGGUAUACUGACGUGUUCUAAUGCUUUAGAAGGCAUGCCCAUCUUACAACACGAUGGAGCAAGAGUCACAGGACCUAUUUCUAUACCUUGGGAAACCAUCUCAUCGUGAAGUUCUAAUGAAUGUUAGAAAUUUUGAUACCAAAAUAUGUUUUUAAACCAUUAUAAUAGAAAUACAAGAAAAAAUUAAUGCGAAAACGAAAUUAUGUACCUCUAGCUUUUGUUGUCAAGAAUUUCAGUAAUGAUUUCUUCUUUAAUUUUGGCAUAUCUCGGCUUAGAACUCUCGCUUUAGAUGAUAUAGGAAAUCCUUUAGACUUGAAAGAAAUGUUAAGCCCAGGGACCAAACUCUCGUUUAUAUAGAUGUUCUCCCAUCAACAACAUUUAUUAUCACCAAUUCAUAACGUUCAAGAAUUAAUUCAAAUUUGUAAUGUUUGAAUCGUAACGAAGAAUUUUAAUGAUAUUAAAUAAAAUAUUUAAUAAUAAUGAUUCAUUUAGAAUGAAAAAUUAAAAUAUUUAAACCAUAAUAAAUAAAAAAGUUGAUUAUAAUGAAUGAUGAAUUUAAUGAGAACGGUUACAUUAUUAUUAAAUAAAUUAUUUAAUAAUAAUGAUUAUAUUCUCUCACUUAGUCCACACGUUUAGUUUAAUAAUUUAAAUUAAUCUUUAUCAAACAACUUUAUUAAGAAACAAAUACAUGAAUCAUAGCGAUAAGUCCUCUAAGAGCGAGUAUUAUCGUCCAUGUAUCACUAUAUAUUUAGUUUCUUAAUCUUAAUAUGGUAAUAUUACUUAAUGAAUAAAUCUUAUAUUUAUUCUUAUUCCAAUAUCAAUAUAUUUUCUCAAAUUAAUGUGCACAUGAAUAAGAAAAUAUCACAAUAUAUAUAUGAGUUUCAAUAUCAUUAUAAAGUGGAACCAAGUCCUAUUUUCUCUACAUGAUCCUUGAAUUUCAGAGGUGGCAUGUCUUUAGUCAAAAAGAUCAGCAAUCAUCAAUUCAAUGCUAAUAUGCUUAAUGACCAUUUUCUUUUCUUUUACAUGUUCUCUUAUGGCUAAAUACUUAAUGUCGAUGUGUUUACUUCGACUUCCACUUUUAUUGUUUUUAGCCAUAAAGACAACAGUUGAAUUAUCAUAGAAAAUUCUUAAUGACCUAGAAAUAAAAUUCAAGAUUCUAAGCCUAGAAAUGAAACUCUUAAGCCAUACACCAUUUGAAGUAGCCUCAAAACAUGAGACAAACUUAGCUUCCAUGGUAGAAGUAGCAGUCAAGGUCUGCUUGGUGCUUCUCCAAGAAAUAGCUCCACCAGCCAUCAUAAAAAUAUAUCUUAAUAUUGAUUUACGAGAAUCAACACAACUGGCGAAGUCUGAAUCUAAGUAACCAAUCACAUCUAGAUUGUCUGUAUGUCUAUACAUAAGUAUAUAAUCUUUGGUUCUUUGUAGAUAUAUCAUCACUUUCUUUACAGAUCUCCAGUGGUCUAUACUUGGAUUUCUUUGAUAUCGACCUAGUAUCCCCACAACAAAUGCAAUAUCAGAUCUAGUACAGACCUGAGCAUACAUAAGGCUUCCUACGGCAGAAGCAUACGGGAUAUUUUUUAUUUAUUCCCUUUUAAGGUUGUUCUUUGGGCAUUGGUUCAAAUUAAGCAUAUCACCUUUCACAAUGGGAGCAACACUUGGUGAAUAAUCCUUCAUCGGAAAUCUUUUUAAAAGUUUAUUGAUAUAGGUUUUUUGUGUUAGACCUAAAAUGCCACAAGGUCUAUCUCUAUAGAUCUUAAUACUAAUAACAUAAGAUAUUUCACUCAUAUCUUUUAUCAAAAUUUUUAGAAAGAAAUUGUUUCACCUCAUGCAACAAACCCUUAUUGUUGGUUGCAAGCAAAAUAUCAUCUACGUAUAAAACAAUGAAACAUAUUUUACUCUCACUAAUCUUUUGGUAUAUGCAUUGAUUCAUGGGAUUUUCAACAAAUUCUAAUGAAGAAAUCACUUCAUAUAAUUUAAAAUACCAUUGGUGGGAGGCUUGUUUUAAAUCGUAUAUAGAUUCUUAAGCUUACAAACCAAGUGUUCACUGACACUACAGGAGAAACCUUUGGGUUGUUUCAUAUAAACCUCUUCCUCUGAAUCUCCAUUAAGAAAUAUUGUUUUGACAUUCAUUUAUUGCAACUCAAGGUCAAAAUGAGCGACCAAUGCUAAAAUGAUACGAAGAGAAUCUUUCUUAGAUAUAGGAGAAAACGUCUCCGUAUAAUCGAUUCCCUCUUUUUGAGUAAAUCUCUUUGCAACAAGUCUUGUCUUAUAUCUCUCAAUGUUGCCGAACGAAUCUUACUUGGUUUUAAAGACUCAUUUGCAACCAAUAGCCUUUGCUUCAUUAGGCAACUCUACAAGAUCUCAGACUUCAUUGCUCAUCAUGGAAUUCAUCUCUUCUUUCAUGACAUCAUGCCACAAAUUUGAUUCGUUGCAACUCAUGGCUUGUGAAAAGGUUUCAGGAUCAUUUUUACCUCCAAUAUUAUAGUCAGAUUCUUGUAGAUAUAUAACAUAAUCAUUAGGAAUUGUUGGUCUUUUAUUUCUAGUAUAUCUUCUUAAUGUUGUACCAAUGUUUCCCUGAGGAAUUUGUGGUUCAUCUAGUUGUUCAGGAGUUUGUUGUAAUUCCUAAACUGCUUGAUCUAUUAGAAUACUGUUAGUAACUUGUGGAAUUUUAAUGAUUGGUUGUUCAACACCAGUUUGUACUUGAGGAGUGCUAUGAACUAUAACCAAUUUAUUAUUUAAUGUGGAAAGUUAAAAUUCUAUAUGAUCAUGUGCAAAAACUAUGUUUAUGAAAUGAUCACUCCCAUUAAUCAUGUCAUCCUUAAUAAAUUUAGCAUUUCUUGAUUUCACAAUCCUAGUUGUGUAAGAUAGACAAUAGAAUAUAUAACCUUUAGACUUUUCGGUAUAUACAAUGAAAUACUCACUAAUAGUCCUCAGGUCCAGUUUCUUCUCUUGUGGAUUAUAUAUCCUGACCUCAGACGGACAUCCCCAAAUGCGCAUUUGUCACAAACUCGGUUUUCCAACCUUUCCAUAAUUCAAAUGGUAUUUUUUGUACAGUCUUGGUUGGAACUCGGUUUAAUAUAUACACAGCCGUCUUUAGUGCUUCAGUCCACAAGAACUUAAGAAGAUUGGAGUUGUUAAGCAUACUCCGUACCAUAUCUAAUAAUGUUUGGUUUCUUCUUUUUGCAACACCAUUCUAGUCUGGAGAACCAGACAUAGUAUAUUGGGUAACAAUCUCAUGUUCUUGAAGAAACUUAGCAAAAUGACUAGGUAUUUAUCCAUUUUUAGUAUAUCUACUAUAAUAUUCUCCACCUCCAUCUGAUCUUACAAUUUUAAUUUACUUACCACAUUAGUUCUCAACUUCAGCCUUAAAGACUUUAAAGGCAUCCAAUACUUCAUUUUUAUUAUGAAACAAAUAGAUAUUAUAUAUAUAUAUAUAUAUAUAUAUAUAUAUAUAUAUAUAUAUAUAUAUAUAUAUAUAUAUAUAUAUCGUGAGUAAUCAUCUAUAAGGAAGAUGAAGUAUUUCUGACCAUGUGUGUCCAUGUCUGGACAACAUAUAUCAGUAUAAAUGAUCUCUAAUAUGUCUGAACUCCUAUUAGCACCUUUUUUGGAUUUAUUGGUCUGCUUUCCCUUAAUACAGUCCACACAAGUCUUAAAAUUAAUAAAAUCAAGAGUACUAAGUAUCCCAUCAUUAAUUAAUCUUUUAAUUCUCUCUGUGAAGAUAUGUCAUAAUCUCUGAUAUCAUAACAUAGAAGAGUCCUCGUUAAUAUUAUACCUUUCAGUGCCAUCGUGAACAUGCAUUAAACUUUGAGUGUCAUCAUUUUGAAAGAAAAUACGAUAAAGACCAUCAGACAAAAUACCUUUUCCAACACAAUCAUAUUUAUAUAAUAAGUGAAACGAUUUAUCUUGAAAAUUAAAGGAAUAUCCAACUAGUAUGAGUUUGGAAAUAGAAAUUAAGUUUCUUGAGAAACUUGGUACAUAAAAGGUUCUUUCCAAUUUUAAAACAAAACCACUACUUAAAGUUAAAAUGCAUGCUCCAAUUGCCUCCAUAUGUGAGCCCAUAUUAUUACCUAAUAAGAUGCUUUGCUUACUUCCCACUAGCUUCCUUUGGUUUUGCAUACCCUGCAAAGAAUUUACAAUAUGAAUUGUUGAUCCGGAGUCAAUCCACCAGGUGUUAAUAUUAAUAUUAACCAUAUUAGAUUCAUAACAUACAAAUGAGGUUUGUUUACCUUUCUUUUUAAGUCAUUGUUGAAAUUUUGUACAUUCCUUCUUCACGUAUCCUUUUCUUUUACAAAAGAAACACUUUGCUUCUUUCUUGAUAUCAGCUUGGGGUGGUAUUUUACCUUUUCCCUACUGAUGAGUUUUUUAAUUGGUUUGAUUUUUAUCAGUUUUAUUCUUCCCGCGAGUGGUUACUCCCAAUGCACUCUCACCUAGUUCCAUCACUAGCCUCUGUUCUUCUUGAAUAUACAUGUUCAUUAAUUCAUUGAUUGAUCAUUUAUCAUGUGUAUUGUAUGAAAUCUUAAAAGACCCGUAUUGAGAUGGAAGAGUGUUUAGAAUAUAGUAUAUCUGGAAGGAUUCUAACAUAUUAAUCUCGUGUUUCUUAAGUUGAGCCGCAAUAUCUCGCAUUUGCAUUAUAUGCUCACGCACACCCUUUAUGUUAGUGAGUCUAAGGGAUGGGAAUUUUAUUAUUAGGGUACUUGCUAGUGCCUUUUUCGAAGAAACGAAUUGUUCAUCGAUAGCUUGAAGCAAGUCUCGGACCUUCUCAUGCUGGUCAACAUAACCACGUAUGCCAGUAGUUAUCUUAAUUUUGAUAAACAUUAUGCUGAGCCGAUUGGAUCGCUCACAUCGCUCAUAUAAUGUGACCUCAAUUGGAGUGCUGGUAUUAGUGACUAUAGGCGGUUUACCUUUCCUAAUAGCAUAAUUAAUAUUCAUCCAUCCUAAAUGGAGGAGAAUCCUCUCCUUCCAUAUUUUAUAGUUAUCACCACUAAGUUCGGGAAUGUCACAUCAAAUAUAAAAAAAAUUAAUAAUUUAAGAAACUACAUAAAAUCAAACAUGUUUAUGUCAAAACUUAAGGUUUAAUAGUUUAAAUUACAUGUUUUACUGAAACAUGCCAAAAGAUGAAUCUUAUGAUAUAAAAAUUAUUUGUGGACUAAAUUCUUAAUUCAAAUAGAUUUAAAUGGUCUUUAUGAUAAAACUAUCAAAUUAUAUUUCAAUUCAUAUUCCCUAUGGGUAAAUUAUGAAAAUAAUAUGAUAUUUUAUCUUGAUUAAUUAUAUUAAAUAUAAUAAAAGAUCUUACAGGAUAAUAAUUAUUAUAUUGAAUAUAAUCAGUCACAAUAUGAUGUCUAAUUACUUAUGUGAUCCUUAUUUUAAUUUUAUAUAUAAUUUUAAUUGAUUAAGAAUAUUAUGACUAAUUCCUAAUUAAUUAAGAUUAUAUCGAUCGAUCACUAGACAUUUUGGACAUAUAAAAUUGACUCAUAAGCAUAAAUUAAUAUAACCAAAUAUGCAUAAAUAAUAUGAGCAUUUUACCGACUCCAAAUAUUGAAAUGUUAUAUGUUCAUGAUUUUCAACAUAAAAUAUACAAGAAGUUUCAAAAAAGAAACCAAAAUCAAAUCAUAUUCAUGGUAUAAAAACGAAAACUAUUUCAUAUCAAGGCAGAGGUCAAUUGGCUCUGAUACCUGUUAGAAAUUUUGAUACCAAAAUGUGUUUCUAAACCACUAUAAUAGAAACACAAGAAAAUACUAUUGCGGAAACGAAGUUGCGUACCUCCAACCAUUGUUGUCAAGAAUUUCAGCAAUGAUUUCUUCUUAAAUUGUGAUACUUCUCGACUCAAAACUCUUACUUUAUAGCGUAAGAAAUUCUUUAGACUUGAAAGAGAUGUUAAGCCCAAUGACCAAAACUCUCAUUUAUAUAGAUGUUCUUCCAUCAAAAACAUUUAUUAUCAUAAAUUCUUAACAUUCAAGAAUUAAUUCAAAUUUAUAAUAUUUGGAUCAUAAUAAAAUUUUUUAAUGAUAUUAAAUAAAUUAUUUAAUAAUAAUGAUUCAUUUAGAAUGAAAAAUCGAAAUAUUUAAACCAUAAUAUAUGAAAAAAUUGAUUAUAAUAAAUGAUAAACUUAAUAAAAACGAUUAUAUUAUUAUUAAAUAAAAUAUUUAAUAAUAAGACAUUGUCACAUGUGCAGUGGCUUGGAUGAGACACCAAUAACUGAAUGCAUCAGCAAGAGAACGAAUACUGGAAUCUAAAAAGUUUCGAACGACCAGACUUGCCUGACAUGCGAACCAUAUCGGAGUGAGUACAGGGAGUCCGGUGGAAGCGGAGGUAGCCGAAUCACCCAGAGCCACAUUUGGCUUCCGGAAGUCGCAAGAGGGAACACAGAUCGAGGUUUCUCGUUCUCCUAUGCGGUAUGUUGGAUGUCGGUUUCCAUGGCGGCAGCUUGCGGAAGGAGCGGAAGGCGGCUGCGGCAGCGGCGAUCAUUGAGAUUUGCAGAUCAUGACUAUGGGCAUCUUCGGAGGUGAGAAGACGAGAGAGGGGAGAGAGGGGAGAGAGGGUUUCGGCGUGCGCCAAUGCAGUUCGUCUUGUAACGGCCGCGUGCGGGCCGGUGUAUGAAAAAUAGCAUACCCUG
Molecule: long non-coding RNA, 8399 nt
Filed under: Musa acuminata (dwarf banana)
Lineage: Eukaryota; Viridiplantae; Streptophyta; Magnoliopsida; Zingiberales; Musaceae
Description: long non-coding RNA (MACU_LNC007742)
Source: RNAcentral